AUAAUACUUUUGUAUGGGAAUAUAUUUCUGGUUUUCAAUUCAUUUCUUUUUGAAAAGUUUUCUUAAAGAACAUUGUUACAAGAAUAACUUUGAAUGACUAGUAUACUGGUAAUUGAAUUGUAAAUCUCUUUUAGGUAUCCCAAAAUAACUCAGCAGGUACAAGAAGCACACUAUCAACAUCAAGAAGGAGAAGACUGUCAACACCAAGAAGGCCUAGAAGAAGUACAGCAAUCAGGAGUGGAACACAGGAGCAGGAAAAUAAUGCUGAGUUAAAUCAAUCAAGCAUCAUUGAUGUAACAGAAGAAACACCCCCAGAAGUGGUUGCAGCAGGAUAUCGCACUGCCACUGGCGACUCACCAACAGUUUUAUUUAGAACAUCAGCACCACUAAUGGUAGAUCAGAUGAAUACCCAUUCCAUAUCAAUUCCAAAUCAAACAAACAGGUCUCAACAAAUCAUUGACAU
This is a long non-coding RNA of Mytilus californianus (California mussel), 463 nucleotides long. RefSeq lists it as uncharacterized. The record is from RefSeq and is a predicted model, not a curated record. The transcript has 3 exons. Lineage: Eukaryota; Metazoa; Mollusca; Bivalvia; Mytilida; Mytilidae.